CUCAGAUGUAUCUUCUCCGAUCAUAUCGGGUGCAAGUGAAUCUAGUAUAUAGGAGACCUUCUCUUGAGUGAAAACUAUUCUCAAAUUUCUCAACCAGUCCAUAUAGUUUGGUCUGAUCAAUUUGUUGGCAUCUAAUAUGCCUCAUAGUGAUGGUGAGGGUACCAUAUAUGCAGUUUAUCUAUAAUAACAAGAACACAAU
Molecule: long non-coding RNA, 199 nt
Filed under: Elaeis guineensis (African oil palm)
Lineage: Eukaryota; Viridiplantae; Streptophyta; Magnoliopsida; Arecales; Arecaceae
Description: long non-coding RNA (EGUI_LNC048473)
Source: RNAcentral